This 89-nucleotide unclassified non-coding RNA is filed under the name Pseudomonas trivialis. The record is from RNAcentral. Lineage: Bacteria; Pseudomonadati; Pseudomonadota; Gammaproteobacteria; Pseudomonadales; Pseudomonadaceae.
UGUGGGAGGGGGCUUGCUCCCGAUAGCGGUGGUUCAGUCACUUAUCUAUCAACUGACCCACCGCUAUCGGGAGCAAGCCCCCUCCCACA